GUGGGGAAUUGUUCACAAUGGGCGCAAGCCUGAUGACGCAACGCCGCGUGGGGGAUGAAGGUCUUCGGAUUGUAAACCCCUGUCGAACGGGACGAAAGACCCGGGAGCUAAUCAUCCUGGGAGUGACGGUACCGUUAAAGGAAGCCACGGCUAACUCUGUGCCAGCAGCCGCGGUAAUACAGAGGUGGCAAGCGUUGUUCGGAAUUACUGGGCGUAAAGGGCGCGUAGGCGGCCAUCUAAGUCAGACGUGAAAUCCCCCGGCUUAACCUGGGAACUGCGUCUGAUACUGGACGGCUCGAGUUUGGGAGAGGGAUGUGGAAUUCCAGGUGUAGCGGUGAAAUGCGUAGAUAUCUGGAGGAACACCGGUGGCGAAGGCGGCAUCCUGGACCAACACUGACGCUGAGGCGCGAAAGCUAGGGGAGCAAACGGGAUUAGAAACCCGUGUAGUCC
This 450-nucleotide ribosomal RNA is filed under the name uncultured bacterium. RNAcentral's name for it is "bacterial SSU rRNA". It matches the Rfam family "Bacterial small subunit ribosomal RNA", at positions 354 to 796 of the family's 1533-position model. The record is from RNAcentral.